Molecule: ribosomal RNA, 306 nt
Filed under: uncultured bacterium
Lineage: Bacteria
Description: partial 16S ribosomal RNA
Rfam family: Bacterial small subunit ribosomal RNA
Source: RNAcentral
GACAGCAGCAGCCGCGGGAAUACAGAGGGUGCGAGCGUUAAUCGGAUUUACUGGGCGUAAAGCGUGCGUAGGCGGCUUUUUAAGUCGGAUGUGAAAUCCCUGAGCUUAACUUAGGAAUUGCAUUCGAUACUGGGAAGCUAGAGUAUGGGAGAGGAUGGUAGAAUUCCAGGUGUAGCGGUGAAAUGCGUAGAGAUCUGGAGGAAUACCGAUGGCGAAGGCAGCCAUCUGGCCUAAUACUGACGCUGAGGUACGAAAGCAUGGGGAGCAAACAGGAUUAGAUACCCGCGUAGUCCCUGUCUCUUAUAC